UUUAAAAUUGAGAGUUUGAUCCUGGCUCAGGACGAACGCUGGCGGCGUGCUUAACACAUGCAAGUCGAGCGAUGAAGCUU
Molecule: ribosomal RNA, 80 nt
Filed under: Clostridium sporogenes
Lineage: Bacteria; Bacillati; Bacillota; Clostridia; Eubacteriales; Clostridiaceae
Description: partial 16S ribosomal RNA
Rfam family: Bacterial small subunit ribosomal RNA
Source: RNAcentral